Molecule: ribosomal RNA, 253 nt
Filed under: uncultured bacterium
Lineage: Bacteria
Description: partial 16S ribosomal RNA
Rfam family: Bacterial small subunit ribosomal RNA
Source: RNAcentral
UACGAAGGGGGCUAGCGUUGUUCGGAAUCACUGGGCGUAAAGCGCACGUAGGCGGCUUUCUAAGUCGGGGGUGAAAUCCUGGAGCUCAACUCCAGAACUGCCUUCGAUACUGGAGAGCUCGAGUCCGGGAGAGGUGAGUGGAACUGCGAGUGUAGAGGUGAAAUUCGUAGAUAUUCGCAAGAACACCAGUGGCGAAGGCGGCUCACUGGCCCGGUACUGACGCUGAGGUGCGAAAGCGUGGGGAGCAAACAGG